RNAcentral lists this unclassified non-coding RNA (259 nucleotides) under Hevea brasiliensis (rubber tree). Lineage: Eukaryota; Viridiplantae; Streptophyta; Magnoliopsida; Malpighiales; Euphorbiaceae. The record is from RNAcentral.
UUUAUUUUUUAAUUAAAAAAAAAACUAAAUGAAAAUUGACAAGGUUUUACAAAAAACAUUGGCAUUUUUGGUAGAAGGCUGCAACUUUCCACUAGAGAGAUGGGAUUUCUCAUCCCAUUCUAAGAACUAAUUUCCAUCCACUUAAAGAUAUAAACCCCUUGAACUAACAGAAACAAUCCAUAAUAACUCAACAGUAAUAUGAAAUAAGUACAGAAGUAAAUUUGUCCUCCUUGUUACCUUAAAACCAAAAGGGAUAUUG